RNAcentral lists this long non-coding RNA (519 nucleotides) under Capsella grandiflora. RNAcentral describes it as "long non-coding RNA (CGRA_LNC000278)". The record is from RNAcentral. Lineage: Eukaryota; Viridiplantae; Streptophyta; Magnoliopsida; Brassicales; Brassicaceae.
AAGAUCUGAACUUAUGAAUCAUCACAGAAGUUUCAAUAUCUGGCUAUAUAUACACUUAACAUUAAGAGCCAGUCUAGGCAAGCUCUUGAGUAAUUGGACUAAAAUAUUCGACUUAUAUAUAUUAUUUUUUUCAUGUAUCAAAGAAUUUAUACAUGGUUGAGCCCAUUAUACAUAUUUUGGUUGAAAAGAAUAGAACCCAUCAUGUAUAUUUUCUAUACACCAAAUUAUUAUUUGGCUUCGUAAAAAUAUAGUUACUAGAUGACAUGAAGUUAUCAAAUUCAAACCCCCGUGACCAUCACCAAUACUGAAGAAGAUCAAUCAUGUGAAUUUUUUUGGCAACACAUAUAAAUCUUGUAGUCUAUAUUACUCUGGUUAUUUGACAAGAACACAUUGAUUGCUUGAUUUUGAUCCGACAAAUUUAAAACGCAAAGGCACAAUAAAAUGCGUGAUAGAAGAAGAAGAAUUUAUACAGGGUCAAAGCUUUCAAAUUGAAUGCUUGAAGACUUGAAGCAACAAAAG